This 406-nucleotide ribosomal RNA is filed under the name uncultured bacterium. RNAcentral's name for it is "partial 16S ribosomal RNA". It matches the Rfam family "Bacterial small subunit ribosomal RNA", at positions 30 to 526 of the family's 1533-position model. The record is from RNAcentral.
AUUGAACGCUGGCGGCAGGCCUAACACAUGCAAGUCGAACGAGUGGCGGACGGGUGAGUAAUGUAUGGGGCUCUGCCUGAUAGAGGGGGAUAACUACUGGAAACUGUGGCUAAUACCGCAUACCAUCGGAUGAACCCAUAUGGGAUUAGCUAGUUGGUGGGGUAAAGGCUCACCUAGGCGACGAUCUCUAGCUGGUCUGAGAGGAUGAUCAGCCACACUGGGACUGAGACACGGCCCAGACUCCUACGGGAGGCAGCAGUGGGGAAUAUUGCGCAAUGGGCGCAAGCCUGAUGCAGCCAUGCCGCGUGUAUGAAGAAGGCCUUAGGGUUGUAAAGUACUUUCAGCGGGGAGGCGUUACCCGCAGAAGAAGCACCGGCUAACUCCGUGCCAGCAGCCGCGGUAAUUC